This 528-nucleotide long non-coding RNA is filed under the name Mus pahari (shrew mouse). RNAcentral describes it as "predicted gene 16321 (MGP_PahariEiJ_G0003980.1)". The record is from RNAcentral. Lineage: Eukaryota; Metazoa; Chordata; Mammalia; Rodentia; Muridae.
AGGAAAAAAAAAAAACUUAAAAUAAUGGUAAGGAAUGGGAGUGGAAUGGUAGAACACUAACCUAGCAUGUAAGAGAUCCCAGGUUCAAUCCCCCUAUAACUGGAGUUAAAGAGCCACCAUGUGAGUGCUAGGAAUCAAACCUGGGUCCUCUAGAAGAGCAGUCAGUACUCUUAACCAGUGAACCAUCUCUCCAGCCCAUGUCUAUGACAUUUUAAAGGAAUAUUUUAGUAAUUUUUUUUUAAGUAGCAAGAACAAACAACUUGAUACUGUUGUAAAGCUACUGCAGAAUUGAAGUAUCUAUCAGUAGUUUGGGGGUCAGAAAUCUAAGGACUUGAAGAGGAGCUAUUUCGGCUGAACUUUUGCCUCUGCCUACAUAGCCAUUUGCAAAGCUGUACUCUUGUAGAAUUUUUCCUAUCUGAUUGUGUCAAAAUUCCCAAUAAUGUUCAAUUGGCAAAUAGAUGACAUCAUGAACGCAGGACAUCUCAGCAAGGAGCGAGAACAAAGUAUCUCAUGAAGAUGAAAUGUUUC